This is a long non-coding RNA of Lates calcarifer (barramundi perch), 900 nucleotides long. RefSeq lists it as uncharacterized. Lineage: Eukaryota; Metazoa; Chordata; Actinopteri; Centropomidae. The transcript has 5 exons. The record is from RefSeq and is a predicted model, not a curated record.
CUGUUUGCUAGUUCUGUGAGACAACUUCGUUACAGGAGAGGUCUGGAAGCUAAAACAAACUCUGGAGCUGCUUUUUGCCGUUAAUUAAGGGGUCUGGAAGCUAAAACAAACUCUGGAGCUGCCUUUUUUGCCGUUAAUUAAGAGGUCUGGAAGCUAAAACAAACUCCGGAGCUGCUUUUUGUCGAAUACGAGUGAGACUGGACACUGAACACACCUGCGGCGCGAAGGUUUACUUGGUUAGCUGCUGCAGCCUGGACAGAAACACCAGCUCUCACUUUACAAACCAAACAGGUGUCACCACUUAGUCCACGAUCACAGAGUCUUCGUACAAUGAAGUUCUUUGUUCUUUCAGGCCUCCAGGAUUCAAACACAGAGAAGAGACAGACAUGAAGACAUUUGCAGAAGGUCUUCAGCUGCUGUCGUCUUCUCCUGCAGAGACAAGAAAAUGUGUUAAUCACAGAAACAGAACAGAUCAAUAAAUCAUAAAUAUUUUUAUGACAUACUAUUCUGACAUUUUUUGUUUUUGUUUUUUUAUGCCCCACUAUACUGUGACAAUUUGUAGCUUACGACAAAGGAACUAUCUUAAAAUAGCCAUCUUACCUUUGUUUUCCACAUUCACACCUCUACACACUGUUGGUUGGUUGGAUUAGAUUUUCAUUUUGUUAUUUCAAAUAAUACAUAUCAGUACUCAAACCCAAUCUAUUACUGUGUACAUAGUCCUGUUUACAUUGUUCAAAUGGUGUAUUAUUUUUAUAUCUUGUCUUGCAUAUAUUAUACUGUUGCAACACUGAAUUUCCCCAUUGUGGGACUGAUAAAGGAUUAUCUUACUCAAAUAAAUACUUCUGAACACUGAAUAUUUUGCCAGGCUGUUGAAUAUUGUAUGAAAGUGAGUAUUUUUAA